Molecule: long non-coding RNA, 1086 nt
Organism: Brienomyrus brachyistius
Lineage: Eukaryota; Metazoa; Chordata; Actinopteri; Osteoglossiformes; Mormyridae
Exons: 5
Source: RefSeq, a predicted model, not a curated record
GUCCAGCCAUUUCCUUUACCCAUAAUGCAACAUGUUGCGGCCAAUCAGGUUCAGCCAAUCAGAAGCCGGGAAUAUGAAUAUAUGCGAUAUGCACGUUUGUUUGAUGAUGAUGAUGAUGAUGAGGGAGGGAUACUCUGACGUCGCGGCAGGACCGUGUCUUGAUGCGUGUUGGUUAGAAGUUGUGCCGUAGCUGAUGGAAACGUUUAGAGGCUUCAAACAGAGAAGCCCCCCAUCGGUGUCCAAGGAAAUGGAGGUGACCUGUCAGCCGCCCCGCUGACAGACCAAAUUGAUGGACGAUGGCAGCUUGGUGUGGAGCUGGGCUGUAGGCUGAUUCCCGUAAGCCGGAAGUUUGUGACCCUCCUGUGGCCAGGAAGAUGGAGGGAGUCGCUAAGCGUGUGCGGGGCGGGGCCGACAUGAGUCCAUGUCCGCUGUCAGCCAUUCUGCGAGCUUUGGAGUGUUGGCAGUGCUCUUCCUCUUCCUUAUAGCCAUACUGCCAGCCCCCUGGGAGGACCGACCAAGUAAACGUCCAGGGGGACUGGACAGGGGUGGUGUGCCCCUUGAGAGAUGGUGCUAGAACAGAUUGGAAGUGAUUUGGACCACACCGGAGCACAAGCUAGGAGGAAACAUGGGCUGGACACCCACCCACACUGAAAGCUGACAGGCAGCAUAUUGGGCCACCCCCAACACCAAGAAGGACCCAAGAUGGCCCCCACCAAUCAGAAUUCAGCCUCAGAUGCACCUGACACCUCCUACUUUAUCGAAACCGUUGUUUUCGACUCUUCGUCUUUAUUUGCACAUCGGUGUGUCUGCACUGCAGUUUGUUGUCGUUUUAAGAGUAAAUCUGUGAUGAAACUAAUGCAGAGCAUCGUUUCCUGUGUCAGUUUACUUGUGAAUUAUUGCCAUUUCAGUGUAUACGUAUGUUUCAGGCUCUGUACUCUGAGUGUAAUUAUUAGUUAUCAGACCAUUAAGGCCAUCAUGAGCCAAGGAUUGGUCACCUUUCCUAGAUGACCGACUCUGUGCCUUUUCCCCAGCCUGUGUCUGUCUCUCUCUGCAUAUCAGUUUAUUAAAAUAAACGUUGACAUCCAA